This 585-nucleotide ribosomal RNA is filed under the name Triticum aestivum (bread wheat). RNAcentral's name for it is "partial small subunit ribosomal RNA". The record is from RNAcentral. Lineage: Eukaryota; Viridiplantae; Streptophyta; Magnoliopsida; Poales; Poaceae.
AUGGAUUACGAUCCGCUGGCACUGGAUGCCGACGACGAGGAGACAAACUGCCCAGGGAAGAAAUUUCCGGUGGCAGCAGCAACAAAAGUAGACGACAUAUGGAGUUGGAUUUACACCAGACGGAACAUCGCGUACCAGAAGAAGUGUGAGGAGAUUGAAGCAAGUGAAGAUGAGAAUGCCACAUUUCCUUCUUAUCCUCUCAAAAUACUCCCUGAGGCAACAGGUAUAUGUGUCAUGAGGGGCUUUUGCCACCACCGUGAAUAUAAAACCCAUGAUACUUCCACUGCUAGAUCAACUCUUGGGUUACGUGAUCCAAGACUGAUGCUGCAGAUCUUCGCGAUGCAUUUAUCAAUCUCCGAAUCCUAUUCCUACCCCGUUAGCGUCUAUGGAAUUGUUGCUGUUCGGGAUGCCUUGGAGCCACUACGGAAUCUUGUGUUUAACCGUCCCUGCAGAGAUAAUGCUUUUAUGGUUGACCAGGAUUCCUUAACCUUGCCUCUUUGUAGUCCUCGUCGAGGAAUGUAUUUAGUCAGGGACAGAGCAUUACUAGAAGUUGAUCUUUGGGUAAAGGAGGAAGGAGAUGGGUAA